RNAcentral lists this ribosomal RNA (788 nucleotides) under uncultured archaeon. Its description in RNAcentral is "bacterial SSU rRNA". It matches the Rfam family "Archaeal small subunit ribosomal RNA", at positions 85 to 876 of the family's 1478-position model. The record is from RNAcentral.
ACGGCUCAGUAACACGUGGUCAACAUACCCAGAGGACGUGGAUAACCUCGGGAAACUGAGGAUAAACCGCGAUAGACCAUAAUGUCUGGAAUGAUUUAUGGUUCAAAUCUAUAUGGCCUCUGGAUUGGACUGCGGCCGAUCAGGCUGUUGGUGAGGUAAUGGCCCACCAAACCUGAAACCGGUACGGGCUCUGAGAGGAGAAGCCCGGAGAUGGGCACUGAGACAAGGGCCCAGGCCCUAUGGGGCGCAGCAGGCGCGAAACCUUUGCAAUAGGCGAAAGCCUGACAAGGUUACUCUGAGUGAUCUCCGCUAAGGAAAUCUUUUGACACCUCUAAAAAUGGUGUAGAAUAAGGGGUGGGCAAGCCUGGUGUCAGCCGCCGCGGUAAUACCAGCACCCCGAGUGGUCGGGACGAUUAUUGGGCCUAAAGCAUCCGUAGCCGGUUCUUUAAGUCCUCCGUUAAAUCCACCUGCUUAACAGAUGGGCUGCGGAGGAUACUAUAGAGCUAGGAGGCGGGAGAGGCAAGCGGUACUCAGUGGGUAGGGGUAAAAUCCUAUAAUCCCGGGAAGACCACCAGUGGCGAAGGCUGUCUGCUAGAACGCGCCCGACGGUGAGGGAUGAAAGCUGGGGGAGCGAACCGGAUUAGAUACCCGGGUAGUCCCAGCUGUAAACGAUGCAGGCUAGGUGUUUGGACGGCCACGUGCCGUUCUAGUGCCGCAGGGAAGCUGUUAAGCCUGCCGCCUGGGGAGUACGAUCGCAAGAUUGAAACUUAAAGGAAUUGGCGGGGGAG